UGGGGAAUCUUAGACAAUGGGCGCAAGCCUGAUCUAGCCAUGCCGCGUGAGUGAUGAAGGUCUUAGGAUCGUAAAGCUCUUUCGCCAGGGAUGAUAAUGACAGUACCUGGUAAAGAAACCCCGGCUAACUCCGUGCCAGCAGCCGCGGUAAUACGGAGGGGGUUAGCGUUGUUCGGAAUUACUGGGCGUAAAGCGCACGUAGGCGGAUCAGAAAGUAUAGGGUGAAAUCCCAGGGCUCAACCCUGGAACUGCCUUAUAAACUCCUGGUCUUGAGUUCGAGAGAGGUGAGUGGAAUUCCAAGUGUAGAGGUGAAAUUCGUAGAUAUUUGGAGGAACACCAGUGGCGAAGGCGGCUCACUGGCUCGAUACUGACGCUGAGGUGCGAAAGUGUGGGGAGCAAACAGGAUUAGAUACCCUGGUAGUCCACACCGUAAACGAUGAAUGCCAGUCGUCGGGUAGCAUGCUAUUCGGUGACACACCUAACGGAUUAAGCAUUCCGCCUGGGGAGUACGGUCGCAAGAUUAAAA
Molecule: ribosomal RNA, 526 nt
Filed under: uncultured Paracoccaceae bacterium
Lineage: Bacteria; Pseudomonadati; Pseudomonadota; Alphaproteobacteria; Rhodobacterales; Paracoccaceae
Description: bacterial SSU rRNA
Rfam family: Bacterial small subunit ribosomal RNA
Source: RNAcentral